AUUGAACGCUGGCGGAAUGCUUUACACAUGCAAGUCGAACGGCAGCACGGGGCAACCUGGUGGCGAGUGGCGAACGGGUGAGUAAUAUAUCGGAACGUGCCCAAUCGUGGGGGAUAACGUAGCGAAAGUUACGCUAAUACCGCAUACGAUCUACGGAUGAAAGCGGGGGAUCGCAAGACCUCGCGCGAAUGGAGCGGCCGAUAUCAGAUUAGGUAGUUGGUGGGGUAAAGGCUCACCAAGCCAACGAUCUGUAGCUGGUCUGAGAGGACGACCAGCCACACUGGAACUGAGACACGGUCCAGACUCCUACGGGAGGCAGCAGUGGGGAAUUUUGGACAAUGGGCGCAAGCCUGAUCCAGCCAUUCCGCGUGCAGGAUGAAGGCCUCGGUUGUAACUGCUUUGUACGGUACGAAACGGUCUGCCUAAUACGGCGGGCUAAUGACGGUACCGUAAGAAUAAGACACGGCUAACUACGUGCCAGCAGCCGCGGU
RNAcentral lists this ribosomal RNA (491 nucleotides) under uncultured bacterium. RNAcentral describes it as "bacterial SSU rRNA". It matches the Rfam family "Bacterial small subunit ribosomal RNA", at positions 30 to 521 of the family's 1533-position model. The record is from RNAcentral.